AGUCACCAGCGGAACCCUCUCCACCAGGCUCCGCGUCGAGGCCCUACGGGGCGUCAAUACGCACGCGUACUUUGUGUCCCAGGUAGCUCGUCUCUUAGCCAUGUACGCCUCUGCAUUCCGGUCACUGGGAGCGGGGCCGUGGGGGCUGCACAUGCGCACUGCGAGUCCUCGCCUACUCCCAGAAACCACCCGGGCGCAUACGCGGUGCGGCCGCUGCUUCAGGUCGGCGGGCUCCAGGGAGACCUGGGUGGGCAGCGUCGCCGUUUCUCCUUUCUUGGGCAGUAUUUUUCCCAGCGCCACGCGGAGGCUGGGCCAUUAUGAGCUCUGCAUUUCCAGGACCUGGUCACUAUUCAGGACACGGUUCCAGCGCAGUGCGCGUUAGCCAUGUCUCAGGGAUGAGUGACAUUCCAAGAUGUGGCCAUUGACUUCUCCAAGGAAGAGUGGGGAUUCCUGAACCCUGCUCAGAGAGAUUUGUACACAACUGUGAUGCUGGAGAAUUAUCAGAACCUGGUCUGGCUGGGACUUUCCAUUUCUAAAUCUGUGAUUUCACUGUUGGAGAAAAGGAAACUGCCUUGGAUAAUGGCAAAAGAAGAGAUAAGAGGCCCAUUGCCAGGAUAUUUCAAGGUGUCAGAGAUGACCAUCUCCCAGGAGCCAAAGGCAAAGACUAGAACUCUCUUUGGAAAAGGUUAAAUUAUUUACUACACAAUGGCUAAGAUUUAUUUUAGCAAAAGAUAUAAAACAAAAUCAGCAAAGAUGUGCCAGGUGCAGAGAUUAAGGAGUUAUCUGCAAAGAGGGCUAUUAAUGAAGUAUUAUCGCAGUUUGACACAGUGAUAAAAUGUACAAGAAACGUAUGUAAGGAAUGUGGAAAUCUAUACUGCCACAAUAUGCAGCUUACUCUCCAUAAGAGAAAUCAUACACAAAAGAAAUGCAAUCAGUGUUUAGAUUGUGGGAAAUACUUCACUCGUCAAUCAACUCUCAUUCAGCAUCAAAGAAUCCACACGGGAGAGAGACCCUAUAAAUGUAACGAAUGUAUUAAAACCUUCAACCAGAGGGCACACCUUACCUAGCAUGAGAGAAUUCACACUGGUGAGAAACCUUACAAAUGUAAGGAAUGCAGGAAAACCUUCAGCCAGAUGACUCAUCUCACACAGCAUCAGACUACACAUACGAGAGAAAAGUUCCAUGAAUGCAGUGAAUGUGGAAAGGCCUUCAGCCGUGUCUCAGCUCUUAUAGAUCACCAGCGAAUUCAUAGUGGAGAAAAGCCGUAUGAAUGUAAGGAGUGUGGAAGAGCCUUCACUCAAAGUGCCCAGCUCAUUAGACAUCAGAAAACUCAUUCUGGAGAAAAACCCUAUGAGUGUAGUAAGUGUAAGAAAUCUUUUGUGCACCUGUCUUCCCUGAUUGAACAUUGGAGAAUUCACACUGGAGAAAAACCAUAUCAAUGUAAGGACUGCAAAAAGACCUUUUGUCGUGUGAUGCAGUUCACUCUGCACAGGAGAAUUCAUACUGGUGAAAAACCCUAUGAAUGCAAGGAAUGUGGAAAGUCCUUCAGCGCCCAUUCUUCUCUUGUUACUCAUAAGAGAACACACAGUGGAGAAAAACCGUAUAAAUGCAAGGAAUGUGGAAAAGCCUUCAGUGCGCACUCUUCCCUUGUUACUCAUAAGAGAACACACAGUGGAGAGAAACCCUAUACAUGCCAUGCCUGUGGGAAGGCCUUUAAUACUUCCUCCACACUUUGUCAACAUAAUAGAAUUCAUACUGGUGAAAAACCCUUUCAGUGCAGUCAAUGCGGGAAGUCCUUUAGCUGCAGCUCUCACCUUACUCGACACUGUAGAAUGUGUAAUGGAAAAUUUAGCAAAUAACCAAAACUCAAAAUGUUAAUUCUGAUUAUUCUGUAUCAUCACCAGUACUUUGUACUUUGAGUCUUUUUAAAUAUGCUCUGUUAGUUUGUAUGGAAUGAUAUUUCAUUGCACUUUUAAUUUAACUUAAAAAUGCCUUCCCUUGACUGUUGAUAUGUAUUUUUUGUGAAGUGUGUGUUGAAGCCUUGCAGAUUAUUUUUUAAAUUAGAGGUUUAUCACUAGGUAUAUCUCCUAAUGCUAUCCCUCCCCCCUCCCCCUAAUGUAAAUGACGAGUUAAUGGUGCAGCACACCAACAUGGCACAUGUAUACAUAUGUAACAAACCUGCACGUUGUGCACAUGGUACCCUAAAACUUAAAGUAUAAUUAAAAAAAAAAAUUAGAGGUUUUUCUUCGGGUGCAUUUAUGAGAGUUCACCAGAUUUUGGAAAUAUUUUCUAUUCUGUAACCUACCUUUUCAUUUACAUAACAGUGAUAAAAGCUUUAAGUUUGAUCACAUCCAAUUAAUCACAUUUUUUAAUAGUUAUGCUUUUAUUUGUUUUUCAGACAGGGUCUUACUCUGUCACCCAGGCUGGAGUGCAGUGGCACAAUCAUGGCUCACUGCAGUCUCUGCCUCCCAGGCUCAAGUGAUCCUCCCACCUCAGCCUCUCAAGUAGCUGGGACUACAGGCAUGUGCCACCACACCUAAUUUCUAUAUUUUUUGUAGAGACUAGGUUUCACCAUGUUGUCCAGGCUUGUCUUGACCUCCUGAGCUCAAGCAGUCCAUCUGCCUCAGCCUCCCAAAGUGCUGGGACUACAGACAUGAGCCAUUGUGCCUGACCUAGUUCUGCUUUUUAUGUUCUAAGAAGUAUUAUUUAUUCUAUGCUGAGCUUACAUAGAAUUUCUUCCAUGUUUUCUAUAGCUAUAGUGUAUUUUUACCUUUUACUGUUAGAUCUAUUUCAUGUUUUUAUUAUGGAUAAUGGAGGAGGUAAAGGUUGAAUUAUAUUUUCCCCCAUAUUAUUGACCCAUAGUGACACCAGUUUUGGGAGAUGUCUUUCAUUUUCGCCCUUACGUUGUUAUUGGCACCUUUUGCAAAAAUCAAUUAUUUAUCAUGAGUAUACUUCUGAAAUGAUCUGUUUCAUCAAUCUAUUUGUCUUCUCAGUAGUUCCACAUUGUCUUAAUUAUAGCUUUAGAGGAAGUCUUGAAAUUUGGUAGUAAGUCUUCCAGUUUUGUUAUUUUAACAAAUUUCUCUAGGCUGGGCAUGGUGGCUCAUGCCUAUAAUCCCAGCACUUUAGGAGCCCCAGACAGGAGGAUCACUUAAGCGCAGAAGAUCAAGACCAGCCUGGGAAAUAUAGCAAGACCUUAUCUCUACAAAAAAAUUUAGAAAUUAGCUGGGCAUGGUGGCACCCAUCUGUAGUCCUAACUGCUCAGGAGGCUGAGGUGGGAGGAUUGCUUGAGUCCAGGAGUUCAAGGCUGCAGUGAGUUGUGAUCACACCAUUGCAGUCCAGCCAGGUUGACAGAAUGAGACCCUGUCUCUUAAAAAAAAAAAAAAAAAUCCUGGUGAUGCUUUUCUGGAUUAAAAAAUAAAAUAAAAUAAAAAUUGGCCUCA
Long non-coding RNA from Homo sapiens (human), 3440 nucleotides. Ensembl annotates it as zinc finger protein 542, pseudogene. Its record names the gene ZNF542P. The record is from Ensembl. Lineage: Eukaryota; Metazoa; Chordata; Mammalia; Primates; Hominidae.